Molecule: transfer RNA, 73 nt
Filed under: Bos taurus (domestic cattle)
Lineage: Eukaryota; Metazoa; Chordata; Mammalia; Artiodactyla; Bovidae
Also listed under: 3 other names
Rfam family: tRNA
About the family: Transfer RNA (tRNA) molecules are approximately 80 nucleotides in length. Their secondary structure includes four short double-helical elements and three loops (D, anti-codon, and T loops).
Source: Rfam by way of RNAcentral
UUCCUGAUGGUCCAGUGGCUAAGACUUCAGGUUCCCAAUGCUGGGGACCUGGGUUCAAUCCCUGGUCAGGAGA